GUGCUUGCUUCAGUAGCACAUAUACUAAAAUUGGAACAAUACAAAGAAGAUUAGCAUGGCCCCUGCGCAAGGAAAAGGAGUAGUAGGAGCUAUAGCUAUUU
This is a small nuclear RNA of Anolis carolinensis (green anole), 101 nucleotides long. The record is from Ensembl. NCBI's taxonomy places the organism in Eukaryota, Metazoa, Chordata, Lepidosauria, Squamata, Anolidae.